CCUACGGGGUGCAGCAGUGGGGAAUAUUGGACAAUGGGCGAAAGCCUGAUCCAGCCAUGCCGCGUGUGUGAAGAAGGCCUUCGGGUUGUAAAGCACUUUCAGUGGGGAAGAAAGCCUUGGGGCUAAUACCCUCGAGGAAGGACAUCACCCACAGAAGAAGCACCGGCUAACUCCGUGCCAGCAGCCGCGGUAAUACGGAGGGUGCGAGCGUUAAUCGGAAUUACUGGGCGUAAAGCGCGCGUAGGCGGUCUGAUAAGCCGGUUGUGAAAGCCCCGGGCUCAACCUGGGAACGGCAUCCGGAACUGUCAGGCUAGGGUGCAGGAGAGGAAGGUAGAAUUCCCGGUGUAGCGGUGAAAUGCGUAGAGAUCGGGAGGAAUACCAGUGGCGAAGGCGGCCUUCUGGACUGACACUGACGCUGAGGUGCGAAAGCGUGGGUAGCAAACAGGAUUAGAUACCCGGGUAGUC
Molecule: ribosomal RNA, 465 nt
Filed under: Vreelandella stevensii
Lineage: Bacteria; Pseudomonadati; Pseudomonadota; Gammaproteobacteria; Oceanospirillales; Halomonadaceae
Description: partial 16S ribosomal RNA
Rfam family: Bacterial small subunit ribosomal RNA
Source: RNAcentral